GACAGAGGUGCCGAGCGUUAGGCGGAAUCACUGGGCUUAAAGCGUGUGUAGGCGGAGUGCUAAGUACCUUGUGAAAUCCCACGGCUUAACCGUGGAACUGCUUGGUAUACUGGUUCUCUUGGGUCAUCUAGGGGCGAGCGGAACAAACGGUGGAGCGGUGAAAUGCGUAGAUAUCGUUUGGAACGCCAAUGGUGAAAACAGCUCGCUGGGGAUGCACCGACGCUGAGACACGAAAGCCAGGGGAGCGAACGGG
RNAcentral lists this ribosomal RNA (253 nucleotides) under uncultured bacterium. RNAcentral's name for it is "partial 16S ribosomal RNA". It matches the Rfam family "Bacterial small subunit ribosomal RNA", at positions 524 to 776 of the family's 1533-position model. The record is from RNAcentral.